CACACAGAAGGCAUCUCAUGGCCACUCUUGUGCAUCAAUUUUUGGAUAAACUUGAUUUGUUAGCCAUUCAAAUUCAAAGGGUGUUUGAAUUUGAAUGGAUAACUUAUCCCUUGCACCUUCUUGCUUAUCCAUCUUGUGCGCCACUUAUCAUACAUGAGAAAGAGUUUCUCAUGAAAUCUUUCCAUGCAUAAAGAAGCCAUGCCCCUUCUCUUCUCACACCCAGAGUGGAUAGGGAUGAGUUGAUUUGCAUUUGAAUUCAAAUUCAAUUUGAAUUCAAGUGUGCAACCACUUAUCUUUAUCCUCUCAC
This 307-nucleotide long non-coding RNA is filed under the name Elaeis guineensis (African oil palm). RNAcentral's name for it is "long non-coding RNA (EGUI_LNC070540)". Lineage: Eukaryota; Viridiplantae; Streptophyta; Magnoliopsida; Arecales; Arecaceae. The record is from RNAcentral.